UACGGAGGAUCCGAGCGUUAUCCGGAUUUAUUGGGUUUAAAGGGUGCGUAGGCGGCCUGUUAAGUCAGGGGUGAAAGACGGUAGCUCAACUAUCGCAGUGCCCUUGAUACUGAUGGGCUUGAAUGUACUAGAGGUAGGCGGAAUGUGACAAGUAGCGGUGAAAUGCAUAGAUAUGUCACAGAACACCAAUUGCGAAGGCAGCUUACUAUGGUAUUAUUGACGCUGAGGCACGAAAGCGUGGGGAGCAAACCGG
This 253-nucleotide ribosomal RNA is filed under the name uncultured bacterium. RNAcentral describes it as "partial 16S ribosomal RNA". It matches the Rfam family "Bacterial small subunit ribosomal RNA", at positions 524 to 776 of the family's 1533-position model. The record is from RNAcentral.